CCCUUAGAUGUUCUGGGCUGCACGCGCGCUACACUGAUGCGCUCAACGAGUUUAUGACCUUGCCCGGAAGGGUUGGGUAAUCUUUUCAAAACGCAUCGUGAUGGGGAUAGAUUAUUGCAAUUAUUAAUCUUCAACGAGGAAUUCCUAGUAAGCGCGAGUCAUCAGCUUGCGUCGAUUACGUCCCUGCCCUUUGUACACACCGCCCGUCGCUCCUACCGAUUGGGUGUGCUGGUGAAAUGUUCGGAUCGGCCGUUUGUCGCGGUUUCCGCGUCAUGUGGCUGAGAAGUUCAUUAAACCCUCCCACCUAGAGGAAGGAGAAGUCGUAACA
Molecule: ribosomal RNA, 328 nt
Filed under: uncultured eukaryote
Lineage: Eukaryota
Description: partial 18S ribosomal RNA
Rfam family: Eukaryotic small subunit ribosomal RNA
Source: RNAcentral